AUCCUUUUGUAGUUCAUAAGCAUGAUGAUUGAGUGUUCAUGCUGUUGUGUGAGAUGUGGCUCCCUCAAACCUUGUUACAUCGGCACAUCACCCAUUUGACG
Small nucleolar RNA from Pteropus vampyrus (large flying fox), 101 nucleotides. The record is from Ensembl. Lineage: Eukaryota; Metazoa; Chordata; Mammalia; Chiroptera; Pteropodidae.